AUACGGAGGUGGCGAGCGUUACUCGGAUUUAUUGGGUGUAAAGGGCAGGUAGGUGGCUCAAAAAGUGGAGAGUGAAAUCCUUCGGCUUAAUCGAAGAACUGCUCUUCAAACUGUUGAGCUUGAGUGUGAGAGAGGAGAAUGGAACUCCUGGUGUAAGGGUGAAAUCUGUAGAGAUCAGGAGGAACACCAUUGGCGAAGGCGAUUCUCUGGAUCACAACUGACACUGAACUGCGAAAGUUAGGGGAGAGAACAGGAUUAGAUACCCUGGUAUUCCUAACCGUAAACGAUGAGUACUGGGUGUUCCCUGUAACAGGGGGGCGCCGAAGCUAACGCAUUAAGUACUCCACCUGGGGACUACGGCCGCAAGGUUGAA
RNAcentral lists this ribosomal RNA (373 nucleotides) under uncultured bacterium. RNAcentral's name for it is "bacterial SSU rRNA". It matches the Rfam family "Bacterial small subunit ribosomal RNA", at positions 523 to 898 of the family's 1533-position model. The record is from RNAcentral.